RNAcentral lists this ribosomal RNA (429 nucleotides) under Pseudomonadota bacterium. Its description in RNAcentral is "Proteobacteria bacterium partial 16S ribosomal RNA". It matches the Rfam family "Bacterial small subunit ribosomal RNA", at positions 355 to 776 of the family's 1533-position model. The record is from RNAcentral. Lineage: Bacteria; Pseudomonadati; Pseudomonadota.
UGGGGAAUAUUGGACAAUGGGCGAAAGCCUGAUCCAGCCAUGCCGCGGGUGUGAAGAAGGUCUUCGGAUUGUAAAGCACUUUAAGUCGGGAGGAAGGGCAGUAAGCGAAUACCUUGCUGUUUUGACGUUACCGACAGAAUAAGCACCGGCUAACUCUGUGCCAGCAGCCGCGGUAAUACAGAGGGUGCAAGCGUUAAUCGGAAUUACUGGGAGUAAAGCGCGCGUAGGUGGUUCGUUAAAUUGAAUGUGAAAGCCCCGGGCUCAACCUGGGGACUGCAUCCAAAACUGGCGAGCUAGAGUAGGGCAGAGGGUGGUGGAAUUUCCUGUGUAGCUGUGACAUGCGUAGCUAUAGGAAGGAACACCAGUUGCGAAGGCGACCACCUGGGAUCAUACUGACACUGAGGUGCGAAAGCGUGGGGAGCAAACAGG